Molecule: ribosomal RNA, 184 nt
Filed under: uncultured bacterium
Lineage: Bacteria
Description: partial 16S ribosomal RNA
Rfam family: Bacterial small subunit ribosomal RNA
Source: RNAcentral
AACUCGACUCCAUGAAGCUGGAUUCGCUAGUAAUCGCGCAUCAGCCAUGGCGCGGUGAAUACGUUCCCGGGCCUUGUACACACCGCCCGUCAAGCCAUGGAAGCCGGGGGUGCCUGAAGUGCGUGACCGCAAGGAGCGCCCUAAGGUAAAACCGGUGACUGGGGCUAAGUCGUAACAAGGUACC